AGUGGGGGAUAUUGCACAAUGGAGGAAACUCUGAUGCAGCGACGCCGCGUGAGUGAAGAAGGCCUUCGGGUCGUAAAGCUCUGUCCUAGGGGAAGAUAAUGACGGUACCCUAGGAGGAAGCCCCGGCUAACUACGUGCCAGCAGCCGCGGUAAUACGUAGGGGGCGAGCGUUGUCCGGAAUUACUGGGCGUAAAGAGUUCGUAGGCGGUCUGAUAAGUCAGAUGUGAAAGGCGUAGGCUUAACCUGUGUAAGCAUAUGAAACUGUCAGACUUGAGGUAAGGAGAGGAAAGUGGAAUUCCUAGUGUAGCGGUGAAAUGCGUAGAAAUCAGGAGGAAUACCAGUGGCGAAGGCGGCUUUCUGGACUGACCCUGACGCUGAGGUGCGAAAGCGUGGGUAGCAAACAGGAUUAGAUACCCUGGUAGUCCACGCUGUAAACGAUGGAUACUAGGUGUGGGAGGUAUCGACCCCUUCCGUGCCGGAGCUAACGCAAUAAGUAUCCCGCCUGGGGAGUACGGUCGCAAGGCUGAAACUCAAAGGAAUUGACGGGGGCCCGCACAAGCGGUGGAGCAUGUGGUUUAAUUCGAUGCAACGCGAAGAACCUUACCAGGCCUUGACAUCCUACGAAUCCUUAGGAAACUAGGGAGUGCCUUCGGGAGCGUAGAGACAGGUGGUGCAUGGUUGUCGUCAGCUCGUGUCGUGAGAUGUUGGGUUAAGUCCGCAACGAGCGCAACCCUUGCUAUUAGUUGCUAACAGGAGAGCUGAGCACUCUAAUGGGACUGCCCGUGACAAGCGGGAGGAAGGUGGGGAUGACGUCAAAUCAUCAUGCCCUUUAUGGUCUGGGCUACACACGUGCUACAAUGGGCGGUACAGAGAGCAGCGAAGCUGUGAAGUGGAGCGAAUCUCAAAAAGCCGUUCUCAGUUCGGAUUGCAGUCUGCAACUCGACUGCAUGAAGUCGGAAUCGCUAGUAAUCGCGAAUCAGCACGUCGCGGUGAAUCCGUUCCCGGGCCUUGUACACACCGCCCGUCACACCACGAAAGCUGGCAACACCCGAAGCCGGUGACUCAACUCGGGGUACCUGCGUAAGCGGGUCGAGAGAGAGCCGUCUAAGGUGGGGUUAGUGAUUGGGGUG
RNAcentral lists this ribosomal RNA (1130 nucleotides) under uncultured bacterium. Its description in RNAcentral is "bacterial SSU rRNA". It matches the Rfam family "Bacterial small subunit ribosomal RNA", at positions 353 to 1482 of the family's 1533-position model. The record is from RNAcentral.